Molecule: long non-coding RNA, 1322 nt
Organism: Oncorhynchus tshawytscha (Chinook salmon)
Lineage: Eukaryota; Metazoa; Chordata; Actinopteri; Salmoniformes; Salmonidae
Source: Ensembl
GUGGAGACUAACUAUGAAAUGCUUACUGACAGAGACUUACCAACAAAGCGGCCGCGUAGCCUAGUGGUUAGAGUGUAGGGGCGGCAGCGUAGCCUAGUAGUUAGAGUGUAGGGGCGGCAGCGUGGCCUAGUGGAUAGAGUGUAGGGGCGGCAGGUAGCCUAGUGGUUAGAGUGGAGGGGCGGCAGGUAGCCUAGUGGUUAGAGUGGAGGGGCGGCAGGUAGCCUAGUGGUUAGAGUGGAGGGGCGGCAGGGUAGCCUAGUGGUUAGAGUGUAGGGCGGCAGCGUAGCCUAGUGGUUAGAGUGGAGGGGCGGCAGGUAGCCUAGUGGUUAGAGUGGAGGGGCGGCAACGUAGCCUAGUGGUUAGAGUGUAGGGACAGGCAGGUAGCCUAUUGGUUAGAGUGGAGGGGCAGCAGCGUAGCCUAGUGGCUAGAGUGUAGGGGCGGCAGCGUAACCUAGUGGUUAGAGUGUAGGGGCGGCAGGUAGCCUAGUGGUUAGAGUGGAGGGGCGGCAGGUAGCCUAGUGGUUAGAGUGGAGGGGCGGCAGGGUAGCCUAGUGGUUAGAGUGUAGGGGCGGCAGCGUAGCCUAGUGGUUAGAGUGUAGGGGCGGCAGGUAGCCUAGUGGUUAGAGGGUAGGGACAGGCAGGUAGCCUAGUGGUUAGAGUGGAGGGGCGGCAGGGUAGCCUAGUGGUUAGAGUGGAGUGGCGGCAGGUAGCCUAGUGGUUAGAGUGUAGGGGCGGCAGCGUAGCCUAGUGGUUAGAGUGUAGGCACAGGCACGUAGCCUAGUGGUUAGAGUGGAGGGGCGGCAGGGUAGCCUAGUGGUUAGAGUGUAGGGACAGGCAGGUAGCCUAGUGGUUAGAAUGUAGGGGCGGCAGGGUAGCCUAGUGGUUAGAGUGUAGGGGCGGCAAGUAGUCUAGUGGUUAGAUUGGAGGGGCGGCAGUGUAGCCUAGUGGUUAGAGUGUAGGGGCGGCAGGGUAGCCUAGUGGUUAGAGUGUAGGGGCGGCAGGUAGCCUAGUGGUUAGAGUGGUGGGGCGGCAGGUAGCCUAGUGGUUAGAGUGUAGGGGCGGCAGCGUAGCCUAGUGGUUAGAGUGUAGGGGCGGCAGGGUAGCCUAGUGGUUAGAGUGUAGGGGCGGCAGGUAGUCUAGUGGUUAGAGUGUAGGGGCGGCAGGGUAGCCUAGUGGUUAGAGUGUAGGGGUGGCAGCGUAGCCUAGUGGUUAGAGUGUAGGGACAGGCAGGUAGCCUAGUGGUUAGAGUGGAGGGGCGGCAGGUAGCCUAGUGGUUAGAGUGGUGGGGCGGCAGGUAGCCUAGUGGUUAGAGUGUAGGGGUG